Molecule: long non-coding RNA, 1294 nt
Organism: Hemicordylus capensis (graceful crag lizard)
Lineage: Eukaryota; Metazoa; Chordata; Lepidosauria; Squamata; Cordylidae
Exons: 3
Source: RefSeq, a predicted model, not a curated record
AAGGAGACGGGAGCUGAAACACUUUGAUUUAUUACAUCUAUAGUUCUGCUAUAGUUCACUGUAAAUUUUUAAAAGUAAUUAAUAGUAUCCUUCUAGGAUCCAAAACCUCCCUUUAAAAAUCUUGAGGUUAUAACAUUUAGCAAGAAUUAUUAAUAUGCACUGAUGAUAUCAGUUCUGAGUAUCAUGUCAUUUAUGAAAUAUUUGAAUAUUGAUAUGAUUUCAUAAUGGAUAAAUUAGAUGUAUAUUAAUGUAUUUAAUUUUUAUUGUUUUUACUUUAAUAUGUUAAAAUAUAUUUUAGUAAAAAUCUAUUUUUAAAAAAACUUGACUGCUGAAUCUGGGCAAUUGGCUUAGCAAAAUCAGGCAUAGCGACCCAAGGCAAUCAAGCAACUCUUGAAUGAGAGGCAACAUUUUCAGAUUAGUAUAUAGCAUUCUACUUGGUUCCUCAGGAUCUAGUGGUAUGAAAUGGGAAAACAGGCUUGGUGAAACAUAACGUUAGCUUUGGAGAUCUUCCGUCUUCCUGACUGAAUGUCCAUUCUUUCCCACAGGCCAUUGCUAGUAUGUCUAGCGCACUAAGAAAAAACCCCAACUACCAAUUUUGUGAAUGUAGAAUAUCACCCAAGAGACUCCACUGGUGUAAGGGGAAUGAUGAGAACCUGCCUAAUCAUUCCUGAAAAAUAAUGCACUCUGAUUAACUUAAUCUUAAAAGUUUGGCAAUAGAAAGUAUAUAUUUAAGGAGAGACAGUCUGACUGCAUAGCCAGCUUUUCUCAGUAAUAGAGCUUAAAAGCUUCAACAGUGAUCUGUUAUUCUUACAAGAGACGAUACAGCUCCCAACAGGUGAAGAACAACGAAAUUAAUGGAUUGGAAAGUCAGAGUCUAAUGUAUGAGCUCUCAAAAGUCUCCCCAGACUAGCAAACUGAUUGUGCAUAUCCAGGAGUGCAUUCCAGAGCCCGGGAGCAACUACAGACAAAGCCCAAUCCCGAGUCGCCGCCAGGCAAGCUGGCAGCAUCCAUAGAUGGACCUCUCCUGAUGAACUUAAAAUGUGGUCGGGAUCAUACUGAAAAAGGCGCUCUCUCAGGCAUCAGGUAGCAUGGUUAUUCUCUCUCCAUUACAACGAAAGUGUUUUCCAUCCUGCUGUUAAUCUCCAGAAAGCAGGGUAACUAAACCAAAGUCAGUUUGACACAAACGAGGACUCUGGCAGGGAGUAGGCAAGUCCAGUGAACAAAGCAUCUGAAAUUAAAAGUCAAGCUGUGUGCUGUAUAUUACUUGUAAAUCACUGCAAUGCAACAUUCCCCA